CGUUUUUGGGUUUUCGGANUCNGAGACUAAGCGAAAGUGAUAAGUUAGCCACCUGGGGAGUACGUUCGCAAGAAUGAAACUCAAAGGAAUUGACGGGGGCCCGCACAAGCGGUGGAUUAUGUGGUUUAAUUCGAUGAUACGCGAGGAACCUUACCAAGGCUUAAAUGGGAAUUGAUCGGUUUAGAAAUAGACCUUCCUUCGGGCAAUUUUCAAGGUGCUGCAUGGUUGUCGUCAGCUCGUGCCGUGAGGUGUUAGGUUAAGUCCUGCAACGAGCGCAACCCCUGUUACUAGUUGCUACCAUUAAGUUGAGGACUCUAGUAAGACUGCCUACGCAAGUAGAGAGGAAGGUGGGGAUGACGUCAAAUCAUCACGGCCCUUACGCCUUGGGCCACACACGUAAUACAAUGGCAGGUACAGAGGGCAGCUACACAGCGAUGUGAUGCGAAUCUCGAAAGCCUGUCUCAGUUCGGAUUGGAGUCUGCAACUCGACUCUAUGAAGCUGGAAUCGCUAGUAAUCGCGCAUCAGCCAUGGCGCGGUGAAUACGUUCCCGGGCCUUGUACACACCGCCCGUCAAGCCAUGGAAGUCUGGGGUACCUGAAGUCGGUGACCGUAAAAGGAGCUGCCUAGGGUAAAACAGGUAACUAGGGCUAAGUCGUAACAAGGUA
Molecule: ribosomal RNA, 666 nt
Filed under: Chryseobacterium sp.
Lineage: Bacteria; Pseudomonadati; Bacteroidota; Flavobacteriia; Flavobacteriales; Weeksellaceae
Description: bacterial SSU rRNA
Rfam family: Bacterial small subunit ribosomal RNA
Source: RNAcentral